Engraulis encrasicolus (European anchovy) is the source of this 335-nucleotide long non-coding RNA. RefSeq lists it as uncharacterized. The record is from RefSeq and is a predicted model, not a curated record. The transcript is spliced from 3 exons. NCBI's taxonomy places the organism in Eukaryota, Metazoa, Chordata, Actinopteri, Clupeiformes, Engraulidae.
AAACUUUUGACAUCGGCAUCUGAGUCGCUCUUUUUUUGUUUUACUGCUGUUUUGGACCUUCAAGUAGCGAUAUAGACAAGUUAGGCCUACUCGUGUGAGGAUGGACAGCUAUGAGGUGGUGUGUGUGAUUGGACAGGGGGCGUUCGGGAAGGCAUUCCUCGCUUGGGACCGAGGAAGAGGAGGAGGAAGAGGAGGAGGAAGAGGACAGUGUGUUCUGAAGGAGGUCAACUUGAAGAAGAUGUCUUCCCGUGAGAGGGACUCGGCCCAGAAGGAAGUGGUGCUGCUCUCUCAGAUGAAGCAUCCAAACAUCGUCACUUUCAUCAGCUCUUUCCAGG